RNAcentral lists this ribosomal RNA (1332 nucleotides) under uncultured bacterium. RNAcentral describes it as "bacterial SSU rRNA". It matches the Rfam family "Bacterial small subunit ribosomal RNA", at positions 1 to 1284 of the family's 1533-position model. The record is from RNAcentral.
CGGUGAGAUAUUGUUUAAUAAAUAUGAAUCUCGUAUGGGCGAUUGAAUUUAGCGGCCGCGAAUUCGCCCUUAGAGUUUGAUCCUGGCUGAGGAUGAACGCUAGCGGGAGGCUUAACACAUGCAAGUCGAAGGGCAGCAUUAUCGCUUGCGAUAGAUGGCGACUGGCGAACGGGUGCGUAACGCGUAUGCAACCUGCCCUCAACUGGAGAAUAGCCCAGAGAAAUUUGGAUUAAUACUCCAUAGUAUUACAGAUUCGCAUGUUUCUGUAAUUAAAGUUCCAACGGUUGAGGAUGGGCAUGCGUGACAUUAGUUUGUUGGUGAGGUAACGGCUCACCAAGACUACGAUGUCUAGGGGUUCUGAGAGGAUGAUCCCCCACACUGGUACUGAGACACGGACCAGACUCCUACGGGAGGCAGCAGUGAGGAAUAUUGGACAAUGGAGGCAACUCUGAUCCAGCCAUCCCGCGUGCAGGAAGACGGCCCUAUGGGUUGUAAACUGCUUUUAUACAGGAAUAAACCCCUCUACGUGUAGAGGGCUGAAGGUACUGUAAGAAUAAGCACCGGCUAACUCCGUGCCAGCAGCCGCGGUAAUACGGAGGGUGCAAGAGUUAUCCGGAUUUAUUGGGUUUAAAGGGUCCGCAGGCGGAUCUGUAAGUCAGUGGUGAAAGCCUUCAGCUUAACUGGAGAAUUGCCAUUGAUACUGCUGAUCUUGAGUUCGGUUGAAGUGGGCGGAAUAUGUAGUGUAGCGGUGAAAUGCAUAGAUAUUACAUAGAACACCUAUUGCGAAGGCAGCUCACUAAGCCGAUACUGACGCUCAGGGACGAAAGCGUGGGGAGCGAACAGGAUUAGAUACCCUGGUAGUCCACGCUGUAAACGAUGAUAACUCGCUGUUGGCGAUAUACUGUCAGCGGCCAAGCGAAAGCGUUAAGUUAUCCACCUGGGGAGUACGAUCGCAAGGUUGAAACUCAAAGGAAUUGACGGGGGCCCGCACAAGCGGUGGAGCAUGUGGUUUAAUUCGAUGAUACGCGAGGAACCUUACCUGGGCUUAAAUGCAGAUUGACAGACUGGGAAACCAGUCUUCUUCGGACAAUCUACAAGUGCUGCAUGCUGUCGUCAGCUCGUGCCGUGAGGUGUUGGGUUAAGUCCCCAACGACGCCACCCCUAUUCUUAUUGCCCCAUGUAUGGAUUGGGGACUCUAUGGAAAACUGCCACGCUACCCUGUUAGAAAGUUGAUGUAGACUCAUUCCCCCGGCUUAUCUAGCCUAAACAGGCCAUAUGGUCGGUACAAGAGACCCACAGUGUGGAGGGAGUGUCAUUACUCCAUAACACCCU